CCUGGUGUGCUCUGGUCGUUGGGGUCAUGAGGGGUCGGACAUGACUUAACAACUAAACAAGAAAGCUCAUCCUCCAGUCAGAAGGCGGGGUCUUCCUACAAUAGUUUACACUUACGACUAUAAGGACGGGGUGGCUACGACAACGCCUGCUCCAAGCGCAACGUCACUGUUGAACUCCGAUCCCGGAUUUCUAGAGAAACGGGGGGGAGGUAAGAAGAAGACGAGUGUUUAGAGUCUGGGGGAUGUCCAGACUUAACGGGAGACGUCGCGUGGGGUCCGCCUUAAAAGUCAGGCAGUGGAGUGAACGGCCCGUCUCGGGUCUUGAGAAAGCCGUUACAGGGUCCUACGGAGAGCGACAGACACAGAAAGGGAGUGAGAGCGGCCUAGAGGGACGAGGCGGCGCAAUGGCGAGGAGCGCAGAACCUCAGAAGCCUGUGAAUGGAUGAGUAGGAUCAUCUUUAGAAUGAAAUCAACAGCGAAAGAAGUCUGAAGGUAGCAGGAAGGUAUUCUGUUUGGAAAAUAGUCUGAGUCAUGUGGGAGCUUAUCUAAUUAUUGCUACUUUCACCUGCUGGUUUGGCUUUUGCUCCUAAAAUCAGCUCUUGAUCAGCUUACAGAGGACAUGCAGCUUGCUCUCUUAUAAGCAAAGAAGCACCUCAAAUGGGUGGGAAUUGUAUGGCGUCCCAAGGCUGCAUUGUGGCUCCCAAAGCCUUGUAAAAGAAAAAUAACCCUAUGAAUGUAUUUAACCACCUAUUUAAAGACAGAAUCUGAGCUCCAAGGCAUGUGGUUCUUUUAUUAAAUAAGGUGUGCCCUCACUUACCUCAGUUGUUACUAUAAUAAUAAUAUGCUGUCAAGCCACUUCUGAAUUAAUAACUACCAGAAGGUCGUAUUGUUAACAGCCCUGCUCAGGUCUUCCAGACUCAAGGGUACGGCAUUCCUUACUGAAUAUGGCAUGGAUCUUUUGCUUUUCUUGCUGCUUUCAACUUUCCCUAGCACUGCUGUUUUUUCCAGUUAAUCCUGCCUUCUCAUGGUACAUCUAAAGGAGAAUAGCCGCAAUUUAGUCAUCUCUGCUUCUAGAAAAUCAGGCUUGAUUUGAUCUGGUACCCAUUUAUUUGGCUUUCCGGCUAUCCAUUAUAUCUAUAAAGCUCUCCUCCAACAUGACAUUUUGAAGGAAUGAAUAUUUUUCCUGACAGCUUUUAUAUGCAUGCAUAGUAGUCAAGAAUACCACCAUAUUGAUAAAGUUGGCCUUAGUCUACAAUAACACAUCCUUGCACUCAUGAAUUUCCUCUAAUACCUUCAUAGGCACCUAUCAAGGUCUCUGCUUCCUUCCAGUUUCUUGGCUGCAAUCUUCAUUUUUAUUGAUAAGUAUACCAAGGUAUAGAAAAUUGUCAACAAUUUCAAUUUAAAGUCAUGUAAUUCUUAUGGAUUCAUGAUUUUUGUCUUUAUGCU
This 1446-nucleotide long non-coding RNA is filed under the name Pogona vitticeps (central bearded dragon). RNAcentral describes it as "lncRNA (ENSPVIG00000023603.1)". The record is from RNAcentral. Lineage: Eukaryota; Metazoa; Chordata; Lepidosauria; Squamata; Agamidae.